GAUGAAGAACGUAGCGAAAUGCGAUAAGUAAUGUGAAUUGCAGAAUUCAGUGAAUCAUCGAAUCUUUGAACGCACAUUGCGCCCGCCAGUAUUCUGGCGGGCAUGCCUGUCCGAGCGUCAUUUCAACCCUCGAACCCCUCCGGGGGGUCGGCGUUGGGGACCUCGGGAGCCCCUAAGACGGGAUCCCGGCCCCGAAAUACAGUGGCGGUCUCGCCGCAACCUCUCCUGCGCAGUAGUUUGCACAACUCGCACCGGGAGCGCGGCGCGUCCACGUCCGUAAAACACCCAACUUCUGAAAUGUUGACCUCGGAUCAGGUAGGAAUACCCGCUGAACUUAAGCAUAUCAAUAAGCGGAGGA
Molecule: unclassified non-coding RNA, 358 nt
Filed under: soil metagenome
Description: partial contains 5.8S ribosomal RNA, internal transcribed spacer 2, and large subunit ribosomal RNA
Rfam family: 5.8S ribosomal RNA (bases 1-120)
Source: RNAcentral